Molecule: ribosomal RNA, 274 nt
Filed under: uncultured bacterium
Lineage: Bacteria
Description: partial 16S ribosomal RNA
Rfam family: Bacterial small subunit ribosomal RNA
Source: RNAcentral
AUACGGAGGGUGCAGGCGUUACUCGGAAUCACUGGGCGUAAAGCGCGCGCAGGCGGCUAUUUAAGUUGGAUGUGAAAGCCUACGGCUCAACCGUAGAACUGCAUCCAAAACUAUUUAGCUAGAGUGUGGGAGAGGAAGAUGGAAUUAGUUGUGUAGGGGUAAAAUCCGUAGAGAUAACUAGGAAUACCAAAAGCGAAGGCAAUCUUCUGGAACACUACUGACGCUGAGGCGCGAAAGCGUGGGGAGCAAACAGGAUUAGAAACCCUAGUAGUCC